This 1395-nucleotide ribosomal RNA is filed under the name metagenome. RNAcentral describes it as "bacterial SSU rRNA". It matches the Rfam family "Bacterial small subunit ribosomal RNA". The record is from RNAcentral.
GUGGCGAACGGGUGAGUAAUGCAUCGGAACGUACCUUUCAUAGGGGGAUAACGUAGCGAAAGUUACGCUAAUACCGCAUAUUCUGUGAGCAGGAAAGCAGGGGAUCGCAAGACCUUGCGCUGAUGGAGCGGCCGAUGUCAGAUUAGCUAGUUGGUGGGGUAAAGGCUCACCAAGGCGACGAUCUGUAGCGGGUCUUAGAGGAUGAUCCGCCACACUGGAACUGAGACACGGUCCAGACUCCUACGGGAGGCAGCAGUGGGGAAUUUUGGACAAUGGGCGCAAGCCUGAUCCAGCCAUGCCGCGUGAGUGAAGAAGGCCUUCGGGUUGUAAGCUCUUUCGGCCGGGAAAAAAUCGCUUGGGUUAAUACCCUGAGUGGAUGAUGGUACCGGAAUAAGAAGCACCGGCUAACUACGUGCCAGCAGCCGCGGUAAUACGUAGGGUGCGAGCGUUAAUCGGAAUUACCGGGCGUAAAGCGUGCGCAGGCGGUUUUGUAAGACAGGCGCGAAAUCCCCGGGCUCAACCUGGGAACUGCGUUUGUGACUGCAAGGCUAGAGUAUGGCAGAGGGGGGCGGAAUUCCACGUGUAGCAGUGAAAUGCGUAGAGAUGUGGAGGAACACCAAUGGCGAAGGCAGCCCCCUGGGCCAAUACUGACGCUCAUGCACGAAAGCGUGGGGAGCAAACAGGAUUAGAUACCCUGGUAGUCCACGCCCUAAACGAUGUCAACUAGGUGUUGGGUGGGUAAAACCAUUUGGUACCGUAGCUAACGCGUGAAGUUGACCGCCUGGGGAGUACGGCCGCAAGGUUAAAACUCAAAGGAAUUGACGGGGACCCGCACAAGCGGUGGAUGAUGUGGAUUAAUUCGAUGCAACGCGAAGAACCUUACCGGGGUUUGAACUGCACGGGACAGCUGUAGAGAUACAGUCUUCCUUCGGGACCCGUGUAGAGGUGCUGCAUGGCUGUCGUCAGCUCGUGUCGUGAGAUGUUGGGUUAAGUCCCGCAACGAGCGCAACCCUUGCCUCCUGUUGCUAACAGGUAAAGCUGAGCACUCUGGAGGAACUGCCGGCGAUAAGCCGGAGGAAGGUGGGGAUGACGUCAAGUCCUCAUGGCCUUUAUGCCCCGGGCUACACACGUGCUACAAUGGCUGGUACAAAGGGUCGCAAAACCGCAAGGUGGAGCUAAUCCCAAAAAGCCAGUCCCAGUUCGGAUUGCAGUCUGCAACUCGACUGCAUGAAGUUGGAAUCGCUAGUAAUCGCGGAUCAGCACGCCGCGGUGAAUACGUUCCCGGGCCUUGUACACACCGCCCGUCACAUCACGAAAGCCGGCUGUACUAGAAGUCGCUGAGCCAACCCGUAAGGGGGGCAAGCGCCCACGGUAUGGUCGGUGAUUGGGGUGAAG